AGGGGGUCUUUUAGAGGCUACGUCUGGAUUUUUCUUUUCGUAGCUCAGUUUUUUGGUGAAUCAAUGUUGAGUGCCUCUCUUGGUUUCUUUAUUCCUCAGGGAAAACAAGAUUCAUGGAGCCCGUAUGGACAAGGGCUGAAAGAGAUGAAUUAAACCUGGAUUUGAUCUCAGAAUCUCUCGAUUGUUUCUACAAACACUCUUUAACUUUCACAACCAAGGAGGUGAUUCACAUUCUUCGUUAUUAGUGUAAGUUAUUUAGUUACAAUGGACUGGCCAUUGCAAGUUUUAGUUGUGCAUGGCACUUUAAUAGUUCCAGUCCCUGCAUGCUGGAAGUAGAUCAGGCCAUCAAAUCAAGUGGUUCUAUGAGGCUUGUCUUCCUCCCAAACAUGAUACAUGUUGUAGGGAACUGGACCAAUGCACAAGGUGGGCUUCACCAUGACGAUCACUUGGAAAUAAAAUCAAGCUAGUCCACUCUUUGAGUAGGCCCCACAACCAAAAUCAACGGACAACACUACAACAAAAGGUAAAGGCUUGGAUUACCAAAGCUUCAAAGAGUAUAUCAUCAUUUUGGAAGGUCAGUGAAAAGAACUUAGGUUACAAUGCAAAUGAUUCUAAUUCGGAUGAGUCAAAAGGUGAUUUGAAAUAAAGAUCAAUAAGAUAUGUUUUAUUUAAAUGGAAGAGUCUAGACAUUGUGUUGGAGACAAAGCCCCUUUUUUAUUGUCAAUGAAGCGGUUUUCGCUUUGGGAGAGUACAAGAUAAUUUUAGAUAUUCAAAGGGGGUUGUUGCUGCUCUUCACCAAAGGCAAUCACAGGUUGGGCUAAUUGAAUCAUGCUAAAGGAAUCCUAUAUGUAUUUUUUCCAUGUGGCAUUCAUCAGUUUGGGUUUAUAUUGAAACAACCACAGUUGAAA
Molecule: long non-coding RNA, 908 nt
Organism: Magnolia sinica
Lineage: Eukaryota; Viridiplantae; Streptophyta; Magnoliopsida; Magnoliales; Magnoliaceae
Exons: 7
Source: RefSeq, a predicted model, not a curated record